AGAGUUUGAUCCUGGCUCAGAUUGAACGCUGGCGGCAUGCUUUACACAUGCAAGUCGGACGGCAGCACAGGGAAGCUUGCUUCUCGGGUGGCGAGUGGCGAACGGGUGAGUAACAUAUCGGAACGUACCGGGUAGCGGGGGAUAACUGAUCGAAAGAUCAGCUAAUACCGCAUACGUCUUGAGAGGGAAAGCAGGGGACCUUCGGGCCUUGCGCUAUCCGAGCGGCCGAUAUCUGAUUAGCUGGUUGGCGGGGUAAAGGCCCACCAAGGCGACGAUCAGUAGCGGGUCUGAGAGGAUGAUCCGCCACACUGGGACUGAGACACGGCCCAGACUCCUACGGGAGGCAGCAGUGGGGAAUUUUGGACAAUGGGCGCAAGCCUGAUCCAGCCAUGCCGCGUGUCUGAAGAAGGCCUUCGGGUUGUAAAGGACUUUUGUCAGGGAAGAAAAGGCCGUUGCCAAUAUCGGCGGCCGAUGACGGUACCUGAAGAAUAAGCACCGGCUAACUACGUGCCAGCAGCCGCGGUAAUACGUAGGGUGCGAGCGUUAAUCGGAAUUACUGGGCGUAAAGCGGGCGCAGACGGUUACUUAAGCAGGAUGUGAAAUCCCCGGGCUCAACCCGGGAACUGCGUUCUGAACUGGGUGACUCGAGUGUGUCAGAGGGAGGUGGAAUUCCACGUGUAGCAGUGAAAUGCGUAGAGAUGUGGAGGAAUACCGAUGGCGAAGGCAGCCUCCUGGGAUAACACUGACGUUCAUGUCCGAAAGCGUGGGUAGCAAACAGGAUUAGAUACCCUGGUAGUCCACGCCCUAAACGAUGUCAAUUAGCUGUUGGGCAACUUGAUUGCUUGGUAGCGUAGCUAACGCGUGAAAUUGACCGCCUGGGGAGUACGGUCGCAAGAUUAAAACUCAAAGGAAUUGACGGGGACCCGCACAAGCGGUGGAUGAUGUGGAUUAAUUCGAUGCAACGCGAAGAACCUUACCUGGUUUUGACAUGUGCGGAAUCCUCCGGAGACGGAGGAGUGCCUUCGGGAGCCGUAACACAGGUGCUGCAUGGCUGUCGUCAGCUCGUGUCGUGAGAUGUUGGGUUAAGUCCCGCAACGAGCGCAACCCUUGUCAUUAGUUGCCAUCAUUCGGUUGGGCACUCUAAUGAGACUGCCGGUGACAAGCCGGAGNGGCUACCCUCUGUACCGACCAUUGUAUGACGUGUGAAGCCCUGGUCAUAAGGGCCAUGAGGACUUGACGUCAUCCCCACCUUCCUCCGGCUUGUCACCGGCAGUCUCAUUAGAGUGCCCAACCGAAUGAUGGCAGGCGGUGAAACCGAUAAAUCCAGUGUUUUGUUUUCCUUGCCCAUCAGUUCGACUAAGGCUUGGUUGACCACGCCGAUAAAGGCUUGGUCAGGCGUCAGGCUGCCCGCCACUUCCUGACCG
Molecule: ribosomal RNA, 1424 nt
Filed under: Neisseria gonorrhoeae
Lineage: Bacteria; Pseudomonadati; Pseudomonadota; Betaproteobacteria; Neisseriales; Neisseriaceae
Description: bacterial SSU rRNA
Rfam family: Bacterial small subunit ribosomal RNA
Source: RNAcentral